UGUACAUAGAAAAUUUAGAAGAAUCUACAAAUAAAUUAUUAUAAUUCGUAAAUCAGUUGAGAAUACUAAUUAUCCAGGAAUAAAUGCAAAAAGUUUGGCCCAAGGCCUCUGUUAAUGGAUUGAAUGUUUGUGUACCCCAAAAAUUCAUAUGUGGAAACCUUAACCCCCAGUGUGGCUGUAUUUGGAGAUGGGGCCUCUAAGGAAGUAACUAAGGUUAAAUAAAGUCAAGAGUGGGGCCCUGAUCUGGUAGGAUUAGUGUCCUUAUACGAAGAGACUCAAGAGGGCUCUCUUGCUCUCUGCUCAUUCUCAGAGGAAAGACCAUGUGAAGACAGAGUGGCCAUCUGCAACCCAGGAAGUGACCCUCACCUGGAACUGAAUCAGCUGACACCUUAAUCUUGGACUUUGAGCCUCCAGAACUGUGAGAAAACAGGCGAUCCAAAGCCAGGCGUGAAGUUUAGGAAACCAGGACCUCUGCCUUGGCUUCCUCCUUCUGUCACCUCCAGGAGCUUGCUGCAGGCACUAGGAAUAUGACUGAGAAGGCCCUCUGAUUCGGAGCUUAGUGGCACAUGAGAUGACAGAUCUAAAAUGACCGUGCUACCAACACCACAAGGCUUUGGUUUUUUGGCCACAAGGCAAGUGGGAUCUUAGUGCCCAGACCAGGGAUCGAACCUGCGCCCCCUUCAUUGGAAGGUGAAGUCUUAACCACUGGACCACCAGGGAAGUCCUCUAGACCAUGUUCUUUGACAUAAUUCUACUGUGGCCUUAGGUGUUAAUUCCAAGCUCGCUUCCUAGUAAUUCACCAGCAUGCUAUUCUCCAGCUCAGGAUCCACUUCCAAGGGAACCCAGCUUGCAACCGUUGGUGCCACAAGUGGUCAAGAAAGCAGAUGCUGGAGUGAGAUUUUAGAGCUGGAUCACUUGCUGCCCAGUUGCCAAUAAAGAGUCCAUCACCAGCAGAAGGUAAACAGUUAAGUCCUGGCACAGAUAACAACAUAGCAGUGCCACAGUUAAAAGUUUCACUGGCAGUGAAUUAGAAUUGCAUGCUGGUGGAAAAGAAUGCAGGUGCUGAGAAAUACUGGGGCAGUAUUAACUAUAAGAAGAUGGAACUGUGUGUCUAUUGUUAUCUGAUGUUCUGGAAAAAGAUAAUAAGCAAAUGAUUAAUCAGCAAUUAAAAGCUAAGUGUGAAACCUAGAGGGCCUUCAUGGUAGCAUAUAAAUAGGCUUUCAUCUCUUUCUGGCGAUGGUAAAGGGAGGCAGCACUAGGGUGACCAACUAUCCUAGUUUGUUUGGGACUCAGGGGGUUCCCAUUAUGUGGGGCAUUCAGUUUUCAAACCAGGAAAGCCCAGGAAGACCGAGAUAAGUUGGUCAUCCUAAGUGAUAAAGAAAAACGGACCAGGCCCAGUGAUGCACUGGCAGAAAUGAUUGCCAGUCUUCAAGAUCUAAAGAUGCAAGAUAUUUCCCAUCAUAUUCCCAUUGAAUUCAUCAGACUGACACCUGAGAAAU
This is a long non-coding RNA of Globicephala melas (long-finned pilot whale), 1499 nucleotides long. RefSeq lists it as uncharacterized. The record is from RefSeq and is a predicted model, not a curated record. NCBI's taxonomy places the organism in Eukaryota, Metazoa, Chordata, Mammalia, Artiodactyla, Delphinidae.